This is a long non-coding RNA of Cyanistes caeruleus (blue tit), 4866 nucleotides long. RefSeq lists it as uncharacterized. The record is from RefSeq and is a predicted model, not a curated record. Lineage: Eukaryota; Metazoa; Chordata; Aves; Passeriformes; Paridae.
CCUCCUGCCGCCUUCCGCUGCUUACAGCACUGCCGCGACCCCCGCCACUGGCGCCCGCAUCCCCCUGCCAGGAAAGUCACUUCGUGGGCUGCUGUCUGUGAACGCCACCUCGGCGAGAACACCAUUUUCCUACCCCGUCCGGGACAGAGGCUCGGCGGCUCCCACGGGCUGGGCAGCUGGAAGAGGCCGGUCGAUCCGUAACAAGGAAUCACGAAAAAAACCCUCCGUGAGACGCCAGCAUAACAAACCCAGACGGGAAAGCGCUGCCUGGCAGCGGGGAAAAAAGCAAAGGGAACCCUUUCUCUGCAAAAGAGUAAUAAAUCAGGGACAGAAGGGUGAGGGGAUGUAGAUAUCUUGUACUUGCAAACAGUGAGCAGCUGUUUGAGACUUAGCUGAGAGCUGAGAUGCAAGGACAAGGCAGCGCUUGGUGUGCUCACAGAAUAAAAGGAAAAGACCUUUGAAGUGGCUGGCAGUAGACUCAACCUUAAACCCGUCAAGUCAACAGAGCUUCCAACAUCUGGAUUUACCUGCCUGUACUAUUAAAAUACAGCGUCGAGGUUAUGGGGUAGUAUGGAAUUGAGGGGAAUUUUCACACUGAUCUUUAUUAUUGUAAGGAAACAUGGUAAAUCACAGGACACAGAACUUAUUCUCUUGUACAGUACAAAGUAAGGCUGGAGAAACGUUUAAGUUUGGGGCCCCAGCUGCUGGCAUAAUGUCAACACUCAGUAGAACAAGCACUGAUAUAUAGAGAAACGGGGAGAUUAAAAAGUAAAAGCCAAGAAAAGAAAGCCUUCAAGGUCCAAAAUGUUACUGUUAUGUUAGGCAUGGCACAAACCAAUAUUAAAUUUCUGAAUUUUAAAAAUACCUAUAUUCCAUUUGGGAGUCUGGGAAGGCUAUGUAACCUAAUGUGAAAGCAAUGCCAAUGCUGCCAGCUCCACUGACCCAUGCAUCUUUACUUCUCUGAACUUAGAAACUCAGUUUGUGCUGCUCAUUGACAGCUAAGCAGCAUUAUAUCUCUCAUGUACUCUUUUCCUCUUAUGCUGGCAUAAGCCUCUUAGCAAAAGAGUUAUGUAUUUCCAAACAAAGGACUGCAAAGUGCUUCACCUGUUUGUUUCAUUUGAAGAGUAAUUCUAUUUCAUACACACAACAGGACACUUGGAAAACAUACUGGUGCCUAGCCAUCUCAUCAUGGCCAAACUUUUUGUUGAAUAAAAAGUGGAUUGAAUAUAUGCUGAUAGUAUUGUAGUGUUCCCUCGUAUUCUGAAAGCAUGGAGAAUAUCUUACAGUAGGAUAAGGGAUAUAGCUAUCCAGUGUGUCUGUGUGAAAAGCCUGUUAACCAGACAUUGAAAAAGAAAUAAACUGCCCUUAGAAUAUUUUCAUGAAUUCACAUUCAAGUUUUACCUCUCAGAGAAAAUGUUGAUCAGAGCAUCCAUGUAUUAGAAAUAAACACAAGGCAAAAUUUAUUCUGCAUAAGCACAGAAGAAAAAGCAAAAUACCUUACACUAAGUUUUUAUUGAUUUUUGUGUAAAACACAGUCUAUGGAAAAAUAGAUAAGAGCAUUACUAACAAUAUAUAAUAGCCCUGUUCCGAGAGACAGCACAAACAGUCUGACAAACACAGCUACAAAGAGAGUAUUACAUAUGGGAGACAUAUUAUGCUCACUGUAAGACACUGCCAACAAGGCAUGAGAAACAAUAUAUAAUGACAGAGAUCAUCGUUCAAGUCAGUUAAAUGUAUCACUUGUUUUAAAGGCUGUAAUCUAAUUAAUUCAAGCAGUAUCAUAUGGUGAUACAAUAUCAGUACUGCAACAUUAUUCAUUAUAUUGAUAGAAAAUACUACAGGAUGAACAGCCAAGAAUUCAAAAUCUUGUAUAUUAGGAGAUGCACUCUCUGCAAGGAUCUAUGCAUAUGCAUUCAUUACCACUGCAUAUGUGAAAAUAUUACACUGAAAAAAAUCAAUCUAAUUUUUAUGCACCUGAUAUAUCUAUCUUUCAGAGGAAAGCUGUUUCCUAACUAUAUUAAUACCUGUGAAAUUUGUUGCCACCUGGAAACUCACUGCCUUAUAUUAAUUAGCUAUUUCCUUUAAUGCUAGUUGAGCAGCUAACGCCAUACAGACACAAACAUAGAAACACUAUUUUAUAGGAAAUUAAUGCCAAAUAAAAAUAUGAAUGUACUUUCUUAUAUUGGCACAUCACAUAAUUCACAAUGUUGGAAAAAAAAAAUUAAAAGUGGCACCAGUUCACAGUAACUAUUACAAGCUAAAGAACUUGCAAAAUGAUUAUGAAAUAAUUAACCACUAAAUAAGUCAAAAACUUUAAAUAAUUUGAGAACAUGUGCAUUUAAUUAACAGUUGCCACAGUUAAUAGAAUUGUAAGAUAAAAUUUAAGACACAUGGAACCUGUAAUAGAACUCUGUUUUAGACAAUGUUAAGAAUAUCUUAAUAUCCAUGGAAAACAAAUAAUCUGUUGCUAAAUACAUAGAGGUCUCCAUUUUAUAAUGUGUGUACAACUCUGUAUCACAUAUUAAGCACUAUUUUUUUAGCUAUACAAUAAUUAAGAGAAAUUAGGAUUAUUUCAUUACUUAUUUUCAUUAGGCAGUUAAGCAAUUUAUAUAAACCUACACAAAAAUAGUUUUAUAGCAGGCUAUUCUCAAAAUACAUAUUUAUUCUCCUAAGUAACUAAGAUGUCUAAAAGAAUGUAGUUGUUUAUAUUUAUGCAAUCUAAACUAAACAAUUAACCUCAGGUAUUUUUCCAAUGAGAAGUCCUAUGAUGAGUUCUAUAGAAAUCAAUGUGUUUGGUCACAUGAAUAAAAGAUCCCUUCUGGGACUAAAUAUAUGCUGGAUAUGAAGUUUGCUAAAUGUAUGAGCAUUGUUUACCUUCAGGCUUAACAGUGUCUUGUUAGAGUGGAUUGGUCCUUAAAGAACACUAUAAAAUAUUAGAUCACAAGUCAACAUGCUAGUCCAGUUAGAAGUAAAUACGUGGCCUAACAGGAAACCGUAUGUCAUUUUUGUAGCACAAAUAUUUCAUAAAAUGCCUUCAUAUAGUUGAUCUAAAAAUAUUGUCUAUUUAUUAAUACUUCAAUAUUUCAACCUUUCAAGUAACAUAUAAAAUUAAAACACAUUUUUAAUUUUCUACACACAGUUUGAAAAUAGGAAUGACUCAUCAUUAUUCUCUCCAGACAUCUUUGGCAGUUUAAAAUUUAAGUUUAAUCGUUGUUGAAGAAAUUUAAUAACAAAGAAACUUUUUGCAUAGGAAAGAAGACCAAUGCAUUUAUGUAUGUACUGUCAGUGGAUGCAUGACUGUACAGUAUCUGUGGACUUUGACAGUAAUUUCCAGUCAGUACAGUAUCAUAGUUCUGCAUUAUCACUAUUGCAUCAAAAUUAAUAACUCUAGGGAACAUAAAUAUUAAUUACAUAUUCUACAGAAAUGUAAAAUUACUGUAAAAUAAUAGCAGCAUAUUUAAUUUUCAAAUGUAGUCAGAUUUUCAACAGUAAUACUUUCUGCCUAAAUCUGUUCAGAUGUUUGAUAUUCUACCCUCAGUUAUACCAGCCCAUUCUAGUAAUUUUAAUUAGGUUUCAUGUGCAGGACUGGGGUAGAAAGUUAAGUGAUAUUUAUCCCAUUAAAAUUCUCCAAGAUUUGAUGUGUUCUAAGAUUUUUACAGUAAAUUUUAUUUAAAAGAAUGAAGCACAAUGCUUCAACGAUGCUGCAAUAAUGAAAUAGGAAACAGUCCAGGACAUUCAAUUCUGUAAGCUUUUUAAGACACAUAUACUUUUUGGAAUGCAAUUACGAAGUUAAGUUACAAGCUGUAAUUGUUACUUGUUUUUCAUUUUUAUGUGAAAAUCUCAUUGGUAGUAGUUUAGGCUCCUGCCUGUCUCCAGCAACAACAGUUUUUCACUUAAUGUCUAGAAUGUUUGAUAAAAAAUUAUUGUACUUGUGUAUCACCACCAGUAUCAUUGAAAUAGCUGCAUAUUGGAAGAGGAACAAUAGAAUAAAUACCCUGAAACAAACUUAUUUGGCUUUGGAAAAAGAAAGAAUGCAAACUUUUUUUUAUUUAUUCAAUAGAUUUUUUGAACCUUUUUUUCUUCUUUAUUUCUCUGUUAAAAAAUAGGAAAGUUUGAAAUUUCUAAAAUGUUUGAUAAUUUUUUGGAGAACAUAGGUAUUAAAUACAGUAAUCCAGAGGCAGCACCUGUCUCAAAUAAAUCCAAAAUUACUGAUUUCCAAGUGGAUGAGAAGUUAUGUUAAAACUGGACACCUGCUUUCUUUUGAGAAGCAUAUGCCACUUGUCAGCUACUGGAGACAAAUCUCAAAGGCCUUAGCCUGACCAAUUGUAGCUUUUAUUACAAUUAAUUUUUCUAGAAAUGGUGAAAUAAAAAGAAUUAUUUUCCUUCCAAUUGACUCCAUCACCAAGGCUUUAAAAGUAGGAUAAAUUUGAGCUCUCCAACUACUUGAAAUUGUGUAUUUGUGAACUAGAAAAAGUAUCAAAUAUCUGCUGACACACAUAACAUAGUUUUUUUCAAAAAAUGUAUUCACAAACCUCCAUUUUCAAGAAGAAUCCAUUGGCCUCUCAUUCAAUACAAAACAUGUCUAAAGACAUAAGAAUGCUCUAAUUCCGAAAAAACAUCAUGCAAGUAUUUUAUUUCUCAUCUCUAGAUUUGAACAUGCUUAAAAUUAAAGGAAGUUCAACUGUCUCUCAUUUUGUAACAAACCCAGAAUAUACACAAGCUUGAUGUGUAAGUUUGGGGAAUUUGGAUACUAGAAUAAAAAUAAAAUUGUUGUUAAUAUUUUGAAUUUGAAAUUAAAUUAAGAACAAGUAACAAAUUCUUUAGGCUUAGGUUGGCAUAACUGGGGGCAGAGUUUGAUUCUAGAAU